RNAcentral lists this ribosomal RNA (580 nucleotides) under uncultured bacterium. RNAcentral's name for it is "bacterial SSU rRNA". It matches the Rfam family "Bacterial small subunit ribosomal RNA", at positions 61 to 628 of the family's 1533-position model. The record is from RNAcentral.
GUCGAGGGGCAGCGGAGAGGUAGCAAUACCUUUGCCGGCGACCGGCGCACGGGUGAGUAACACGUAUGCAAUCCACCUGUAACAGGGGGAUAACCCGGAGAAAUCCGGACUAAUACCCCAUAAUAUGGGUUCUCCGCAUGGAGGGUCCAUUAAAGAGAGCAAUUUUGGUUACAGACGAGCAUGCGCUCCAUUAGCCAGUUGGCGGGGUAACGGCCCACCAAAGCGACGAUGGAUAGGGGUUCUGAGAGGAAGGUCCCCCACAUUGGAACUGAGACACGGUCCAAACUCCUACGGGAGGCAGCAGUGAGGAAUAUUGGUCAAUGGUCGGCAGACUGAACCAGCCAAGUCGCGUGAGGGAAGACGGCCCUACGGGUUGUAAACCUCUUUUGUCGGAGAGUAAAGUACGCUACGUGUAGCGUAUUGCAAGUAUCCGAAGAAAAAGCAUCGGCUAACUCCGUGCCAGCAGCCGCGGUAAUACGGAGGAUGCAAGCGUUAUCCGGAUUUAUUGGGUUUAAAGGGUGCGUAGGCGGCACGCCAAGUCAGCGGUGAAAUUUCCGGGCUCAACCCGGACUGUGCCGUU